This is a long non-coding RNA of Mauremys reevesii (Reeves's turtle), 1927 nucleotides long. RefSeq lists it as uncharacterized. The transcript has 4 exons. The record is from RefSeq and is a predicted model, not a curated record. Lineage: Eukaryota; Metazoa; Chordata; Testudines; Geoemydidae.
CCCUCAGCACGACGAGGAGCCCAUGGUGUGGGACCCCGCUGCAGAGCCCAGCGAGGAGCAGCUCCUUCUCCCCACUACUAUGUUUAAACAGAAAACACUCAUACUCAUCAACUGAUUCUGUCCAUCUCUACAAACUACCACAGACAGCAACGAACAAAAAAGAAGACUCAAGAGGAAACCAACUUAAAUAGAACCUCCCCAACACUUCAGCAUUGAUUGGUGAGAGAAAGUUAACAGACAGUGAGGCAGUGUGGGGAUUGGAGCCCCGAGCCCCACACCCCCAGAGGGGCUGGAGCCCAGAGUCCUGUGUCCCAAGUCGGGUGGAAGGCUGGAGCCCUGAGGGCGGCUGAAGUCUGGAGCACCGGAGGUGGCAGAGGAGCUGAAGGAUUGAGUCCUGCAGAGGGCUGAAGGCUGCAGCCCCAUGCCCCAAUGGGGGCUGAAGGUUGGAGCCCCAUAGGGCUGAAAGUAGGGGAUCACAUUUUUUUCUACCAUAUUCUUCAGAUUGGAGCUACAUUAGCCUGGAAAACCAGACUGAAACUGAACAUGGAGGGAAAUUGAAAUAAGAGAAUAAUUGUUGGUAUCCAGAAAACGAAGGCCCAUCUAGCAGGCUUCUACAUAUAACCAUGGAAAAAGCAAUGUACCAUUUCCAAAAUUCACAAUCAAAAUGUGCAAUUUUAGAGGAGAACAAAAACAUAGCCACAAAGGGGCAUUAAGUAUUUUAUUGAUUAUUUGAAGGUGGGAAGCCAGAUUCCACUAUGCUUAUGUGUAUGUUGUAAAAUUGAUGGUAGAUUGUAAGGAUACCAAAGAAAAUGUAAAUAUGCCAAAAUGUGCUGUUUCUCUUCUAAGUGAUACUUAACUCUGAAGGACCUGAAGCCAUUCAUUACACCAUCAAAUGAAGUCAGAGUUAGAAAUUAAUUACAGCAUGACAUAUUGAUGGAAACAAAGCUAAAAUUAUCCUGUCAGCAACAAUAGGGCAGCUGAAUAUGGUCAGUGGAGGUUACCCCAUGAUAGAGCUGAUGGUAACUAUUCUAAAAACAUUUAUCCUGCUAGACUGAGGGAACAAGAUGGAAGAUGGGGGGGGAAAAGAGGGGAUAGGAAUUUUUAGGGAAAAAUGGCAGGAAAGAACUAAAGAUAUAAUUUGUUUGGCGCUCCCCUUCUAUGAAAUUCUAGACAUAUUCCCUGUAUUCUCUUUAACCAAAGAAAUCUUGUUAAUUUGUUUGGUGUUUGCAAUCAGUCUAUUAUACACCAUGACAUUCCCUACUCAGAACACUGAAAAUGUAUUUACAUGCUGCACUGAAAUUUUCCAGAAUCACCAUGCCGGUCCAUUGCAUCAACCAGUGAUAUGCACGUAACACCAGCUUUAAAAUAUAUAAUAAAAAAAAACCUGCAACUACUUUACUUAACUAAACUGAAGGAUAAAUGCAGUAGGUAUCCCCAAGUGACUAGGCUAAUGAACAUAUACUAACUAAUGAACUUGUUUUCUAAAGUCAUGUAUGAAAUGUUAUGUAUAUCAGCUAUCCUAGCAAGUUGAGUCAUGGAUGACCUAAUUUAUUUGCAGAGCACUUUUAGUGUCAAAUUUAAUGAUUUCAACUGAUUUAAUACAAUAGAUAAUGCAAGCUGUCCACCUUAUAUGCUGGUUGCUUUCUUAAGGUCAGCUCAUUAGCAUAGAUAAUUAGCCUGGCUCAGCCAAUUAGUUUCUAAAUAUUACCAUAAUUGCUAUUUCUCUCUGUCUCCCCUCUUCCAUCAUCCUAUUUUUAGAUAGCAAAGCUCCUCCCCCAAUGCCAUUUUGGGUAGAGCUCCUUCCUCUGACAUCAUAUUUAGCCGUAGCUCCUCCCCUUGAGGUCUUGGGAGAAAUGUUGAGUCAUUCCCUAUUAAUUGACAGAAUUUUCCAUACCCUAACCCAAUGUCUUUCAUAAAGGAUUAUUGA